UACAGAGGUCUCAAGCGUUGUUCGGAUUCAUUGGGCGUAAAGGGUGCGUAGGUGGCUAGGUAAGUCGGAUGUGAAAUCCCGGGGCUCAACCCCGGAACUGCACUCGAUACUGCCUGGCUCGAGUACUGGAGAGGAGAUUGGAAUUUACGGUGUAGCAGUGAAAUGCGUAGAUAUCGUAAGGAAUACCAGUGGCGAAGGCGGAUCUCUGGACAGUUACUGACACUGAGGCACGAAGGCCAGGGGAGCAAACGGG
Molecule: ribosomal RNA, 253 nt
Filed under: uncultured bacterium
Lineage: Bacteria
Description: partial 16S ribosomal RNA
Rfam family: Bacterial small subunit ribosomal RNA
Source: RNAcentral